RNAcentral lists this transfer RNA (73 nucleotides) under Stegodyphus mimosarum. It matches the Rfam family "tRNA". From Rfam's summary of the family: Transfer RNA (tRNA) molecules are approximately 80 nucleotides in length. Their secondary structure includes four short double-helical elements and three loops (D, anti-codon, and T loops). The record is from Rfam by way of RNAcentral. Lineage: Eukaryota; Metazoa; Arthropoda; Arachnida; Araneae; Eresidae.
GCCUUUGUCGUGUAAUGGUUAGCACAUUCGGCUCGUAUUCGAGAGGUCCAAGGUGCGAGUCUCGGUGAGGGCA